CCUACGGGAGGCAGCAGUAAGGAAUCUUCCACAAUGGACGAAAGUCUGAUGGAGCAACGCCGCGUGCAGGAUGAAGGCUUUCGGGUCGUAAACUGCUUUUAUAUGGGAAGAUUAUGACGGUACCAUAUGAAUAAGGACCGGCUAACUACGUGCCAGCAGCCGCGGUAAUACGUAGGGUCCAAGCGAUAUCCGGAAUUACUGGGCGUAAAGCGUGUGUAGGUGGAUUAAUAAGUGUGAUGCGAAAUCCGGCGACUCAACCGUUUGGACUGUGUCGCAUACUGUUAGUCUAGAGGACGGCAGAGGUAAGUGGAAUUACGGGUGUAGCAGUGAAAUGCGUAGAUAUCCGUAGGAACACCAAUGGCGAAGGCAGCUUACUGGGCCACACCUGACACUGAGACACGAAAGCGUGGGGAGCGAACAGGAUUAGAUACCCUGGUAGUCCACGCCGUAAACGAUGCAUACUAUUAGUAUGGGGUAUCGACCCCCUGUGCUGAGAAGCUAACGCGAUAAGUAUGCCGCCUGGGGAGUACGAGCGCAAGCUUAAAACUCAAAGGAAUUGACGG
RNAcentral lists this ribosomal RNA (563 nucleotides) under uncultured bacterium. RNAcentral describes it as "bacterial SSU rRNA". It matches the Rfam family "Bacterial small subunit ribosomal RNA", at positions 338 to 916 of the family's 1533-position model. The record is from RNAcentral.